UUUCAGGAUUCUGAAUUAAUCUCAAGAAAAUUCAUUGGUUACAGACAGGGUUCUGAAGAAAAGUAUUGAAUUUUGUAAGAUUCUCGAAGUUGAGUAUGAAGAAAUCUAUCGUAUCUUUUCUUUUAGGAUGCACAAAAACAGAGUAAGUUAAACUAUGGAAUCACAUUCUAUUUGCUGACAUUCUAAUUCAUUGUCACAUCCUUGACACAAAUAAUUAUAAAUACCACAUAUUUUACAGUCUGACUCGUGUGUAGUUACAGUUUAAUAUUAUAUAAAUUUACUUAAGAGACAUCCUGUUUUUCCUUAUUAGGAGUGACAUAUAAGAUAGCCAAAUGGGUAAGGUAUGGUAUAUACUAUUGGCAAUCAUUUCUUAAGUAUAUGUUACAAAAGUAUCUGAUUCUGUCAAGUGGUACUAUUGGUGCUUGAAUAUCAACUUUCUACUCCACUGUAGGUAUUUCACAAAAACCAAUUGCUCUUUACAAUGCCUCAUUUCUAUCUUUAUGUGGUUAAUUAAUAACAGAUCUUUCUGAAAAAGAUUGUGCUUUGUGGUGCAGUAGCAAGCCAAUCCAUAUAAGAUGUACAUCUGCUGAAUAUUUGCACAUCCAGAAUUAAGCAGCAUAUAAUUAGUUUUUCAUCAUCCUUGCACAUGUCCAGUCCUUGCUGGACGAAUGCCUCAAUAUGUUCUCUCCACCAACCAGUCUGAUGUUUUCCUCAUCCAUGUUUGGGUGCUAAAGAAUUUAACAAAGUUUUCAUUCCAACUUCUGCAUGGUCUUCCCCUCCUUUUCUCUGGAUGUGGUAUCCACUCUGUCAGUUUGGUAUUCCAUCAAUUGUCCUUUCUUCUGAACAUAUGUCCUGUGAUAGACCAUUUCAGAGUUUUUAUUUUCUAGAUAAUAUCCAUUAAACCUGUUGCCACUCUUAUCCUGUUGUUUCUCCACAUCCAUUUUGCUAAUCUUUAGCAUUCUCCUUUCCAUAACUCUUUGUGUUGCUCUUACUUUAUUUUUAAAGCUCUUGUUAGUAGUCCAUGUUUCUGAUGCAUAUGUAAUGGUAGGCAGUACACACUGGUUGAAGACUUUUCUUUUUAAACACAUGGACAACUUACACUUCAUGAUGUAAUUCAAUUUACCAAAGGCUGCCCAUCCUAAUGGCAUUCCUCAUUCAAUUUCUUUGGUCUGAUUUUUAGCCUUUAAGCAUAUAAUUUGUUCAAGAUAGGUGUAUUGGUUUACAUGUGAUUAAUUAAAAAAUACUUAACUUGAAUUGUUGUACCUGAAAAAAAAGUUAAGAUUUAUAAGUUGAACAUAUUUCAAUUUAUUUAUAGCCUAAAGCAUUUUGGUAUGUUUGAAUCACCUUUUUUUACUUAUAAUUCUUACAAUCUCUAUGUCAGCCAUCUUAAUAUUGUUGUGCAGCACCAUAGCACAGAGUGCAACCUAUGAGUUCAGCACUUUUGGUGUGCUAUGUUUGAGUAUAUUGUAAUGUGACCUGGCCAGGUCUGGUUUGAUAACCUCUCUCUAUUGAUACAACAUAAUGAAGCAGUGGGUAAUUUGGGUAUGCUGUGUUUUUAAACACUUAUUUGAGCUUAUUAUUGAAGAUUUAUUGAAAACAGUAAAGAUGAACAAGAAAAGUGCUGUGUUUUGGUAUAAAUUCCUUGAAAUUUAUCACUUGUAACCAUGUAACCUGGUAUAGGAUUUAGGUAUAUUGCAGCAAUUAACAUUGCAUAUAUUUUGCUUCGUUGGUUGUCCAGAUUAGGUAUCAUUCUACUAUAAUAUUGUAAAGUUUGUACCAGUGGAGUAGAUUACUGAGUUGAACUGUAUUCUUUACAUUAUCUCAUCUUUCACAUUAAUAUGUUUCACUGAGGCAGUGGAGCGGCACAAACGGUAACACACCAUAUUAAAUGCCUUUUAUAUUUAAAUUCCUGUCUCUCCAUUCUGAGUUCAAAUCAUUUCAUGGUCAUCAAAGCCAUUCAUAUUUCGUCCAGUCAAAUAAUGGUGUUAAUGUGAGGUCUUACACUUAUGUAAAUAAUCUACCCUCUGAAUUCUAAUUGGUAAUUCAGAAGCUACUGCACAAGUAACCUAACUAGUUGAUGUUUUCUUGAAUCAGACAUAUUUUUCUGAACAAUAAUAUCAAAAGUGUCUUGUUAAAAUAAUAUGUUCAUUUUAGAUGACUUGUGACAUGACUCGUCAUGGUUUACAAGGGAGGCAACCACUUUGACUGAAGCCAAGAUUUCACAGAAAAGUAUUCAGAGAUGAUAAUAUUAUUGAUUAUAUUACAUGUAAAAACAUUUAUAGAUUAGUUUAUUGAAAUGAAUGAUCUUUGAAGAUUUUUCCAUCUACUGAUGUCUGGUUAAGAGUUCUGGAAUGUCAACUAAAGAAACAUGUCAAAAGAUAAUGCUUCUCACUAUCUCUACUUUCAAAAUUAAUAGCAUCAGUUUAAACUAGAAAAUUACUCAACAGAAUAUCAGUCUUAUUAUCACAAGGUACAGAUGGUUAUGUGGUAGACAUUCUAGAUGACUGUUUAUACCAAAACUUUGAAGGCUUCUCUCAAAUUGAUGGCACCAUGUCAAAAAAACAUGAAUUUAAAAACAAACAAAAGAACUACUUAUUCCAUCCUGCAGAUGAGUGAAAGUGAUUGAGCAUUAUUUAAUGUAUUAAAAUAUUGAUACUGAAAUUAACUGUAAAAUUUCUCAAGUUAAUAUAGUUUGAGCCUGAGGUAGUGAAAUAAAACAAAAGAUCACUGAUGACCAAAACUUAUAAGAAAUAUAAAAGUGACUUCCAUAACGUAUUAGGUCAUAACAGUACAGCUGAACACUUAGUUCUUAUUGAGUAACCAGGACUAAGGUUAGUAGAAUCCAUCCUUCUCCAGGUUUUACACUUAGGCUUAAAUUUUGUGCUGAAAAUUAACAAAAUACUUAUUGUUUUUAGUGUUGCUUCUAGCUACCUGAUAUGUUGUUUCUACUUCUAAUUUGCUUUGCUAAUUUACAUCACAGCAAAGUCUUUGCUAUGAAACCAAUGAAGUAUUGGUGAUAGGAAAUGAACUGAACAUGUCCUGGCUGAUUAUCUUGUGCCAAUCAUAGGUAUAAUACAAUAGAACAUGCAGACUCUGACACCACAUCCAACACAUGUUCUUGCUUACAUCGAAUAUACUAAUCCACAUUCAUUCAUUCACACUGUAUAUCUGGGAAAGCUAUGUAGGCAAUUAAUUAAUGAUGAUCCUUUCUAGUGAUGUUUCAAUACACACCUACACAGUAUACAAAUUAACAGUAAUGAUAGCUAAUUUUGACCUAACAUUCAACCAAUCCUUCUUUGCAAUAAAUAUACAUAUUGUCAACCAUAAAUCAAUAAACAGUUAAUGCUACCGACAACUUCAAACUGGUUAAUAUAAUCUCUAGUAAUUGAAUCAAGCAUAAGUGAGACUGAAGCCUAACAAUUUACUCAAUUCUUCCAAUACAGAAAUAUAUACAUACAUCUUUUGACGUUUAUUUGUUUCAGUCAUUAGAUUGUGGCUAUGUUGGGACCCCGCCUUGAAGAACUUUUAGUCAAACGAAUCAACUCCAGUACAUUUUUUUUUCAAAGAGCCUCAUUCUAUCAUACUCUUUUGACAAACUGCUAAGUUAUGAGGACAUAAACACACCAACAUCAGUUGUCAAGCAGCGGUGGAGCCAAAGAAAAAACAAAGACACACAGAUAUGUAUAUAUACGGUUUGCCAAAAGUCACCUGACAGUAAAUCAAAAUUCCAUAAAUACUAUCUGUAAUUUUGUAUUAUCACGUCAUCCCAUAAGUUCUGUCCGAAUUUUGAAUAAAGAAAACAAGUGAUCAAAUGUUAUAUUUAAUUGAAAUUUAAUCAUCAAUGUACUUUCCCUGAUUAACUAUGACUUCCUUCCAUCUAUUUACAAGCUUUUUAAUCCCAUCAAUGUAAAACUCUUUUGGUUUCAAAGCGAAGAACUCUGAAAUGUCAGUUUCGACCUCCUCCUGGCUUGUGGAAGCUAUGUCCCCCAAAUGACUCUGUAAAGUAUGAAACAAAUGGUAGUCUGAAGGAGCAAGGUUGGGAGAAUAAGGUGGAUGAGGAAUUUUUUCCCAACCAAGCUCUUCGAUCUUCUGUGAUGCAAUCUUUGCAGUGUGGGGUCGCGCAUUGUCCUGAUGAAACAUCAUUCCUUUUCGAUUAACUAAAGCAAGUUUUUUUUUCUUCAAAGCUUGGUUCAAAUGCUCUAAUUGCUGACAGUAGACUUGAGCAUUGAUUGUUGCAUUAGGUGGUAACAAUUCAAAGUGAAUUACUCCUUUGCAAUUCCACCAGAUAAAAGAAACUUUUUCCCAUGAAGUUCCCUUCUUGGUUGUGGUUGAGCUUUUUCCUUUUUACCAAGCCACUGUUUAUGAUGUUUAACAUUUUGAUAGAAGAUCCAUUUUUCCUCACCAGUCACAAGUCUAUCCAGAAUGGAUGAAAUGAGUUCACAGGAAUGGAGUGAAGAGCAGAUGUCAACUCAGGAUUUGCGGUUGCUUUCGGACAAUUCAUGAGGCACCCAUUUUCCAAGGUUAGGAAACUUUGCAAGUUGUUGAAGAUGACAAUGAACAGUUGUAUGGUUUGAACUAAGCUUUAUUACCAAUUCUUCAACUGAUAAUGCAGAUUUUUCUUCAAGUAAUGCCUCAAGGAGCUUAUCAUCAAACUCAACUGGACAUCCUGUUCAAUCUUCAUCGUCAAGGCUGAAAUCUCCACUUUUGAAUUUUGCAAACCAUCUUCUGCAAGUUCUUUCAUUCAAGCAUUCUUUCCCAUAAACUGAGAGUAUGUUUUGAGUCACUUCAACUGCAGAGUUUCCUUUUUUGUUCUCAUAAAGCAUUAUGUGCCUCAAAUGCUCUUUGGAUACUUCCAUGUUAGAAAGGGUUUUAAUCAAAGAAAUUUUAAUUCUAUCAUUCUGUAAAAUAAUAUUUAAUUAGUUUAAAUGUACGCAAAUGCAUAAGUAUAAUUUUUAAUUCAAUUAGACAUUCUAAAAUACUAUUAAAUUUCAUUCAAUUUUAAAAAAGGUAAAAUUGGGCAGAACUUAUGGGAUGACCUGAUAAAUGGAAAAAUGUGUCACUCAAGACGGACUUCAGUUUGAACAAUUUUCAUGAUGUUUCAUGUUUAGAUGAUUUUAUUAAAUUCAUUCAGUUGUUAAACAUAAAUAAAUCUUGGAAUUUCAUUUACUGUCAGACAGCUUUUAGCCAACCUUGCAUAUAUAUAUAUAUAGGGAUCAAAACAGUUUGACAAAAGCUCCUUGGUACUCAGAGUUUCCGGCUUGAUGCUAAAUUUCAGCCAUGGGAGUUUAAAAGCUUAGCAUCACACUUGAAACUCAAAGAGUUGGAAUCAAACUAUUUUAAUCCAUACUGGCAAGCAAAAUUCUUACCACAUAGCAUGCCUAUAUAUAUAUGUGUGUGUGUGUGUUUUAAUCAUAGUAAUUAUAAUUAAAUUUAUGCAUUGUCAUUCUCAUCAGUGUGAAGAAUCUUUUGAAGAACAUCAAGAAAGUAUAAUAAGAUGAAAUAGAAUAAAAUAAAACAAAAAUAAAAACAAAAUAAGAUACAAUAAGAGAACACAUAUGGGGCAGUAAGGGAAAAUCGGAUAAUUUACAAACCAAGUUGUGAAAGGGAAAAAUAAUGAUAACAAUAAUAAUAGUGAGAAAGACGAAAAAAAUACUAUGAUUAGAACUUUUUUCUUACACAUUUGCAUUGUUUUUCGAAACGUACAUAUGCAUUAAAUCUAGUUUUGUAAUAAAUCUAUUUCUGAUUCAACAUUUUUCUCCAUGCACGCACGCACACAUCUAAUAUACACACAUACCGUUUUUUUGUUGUAGAUGUCUGUUGUGAUGAUGGAGUUGUGUAUCUUGAAGUUGAUGUCUAGGAAGGGAAGUUCAUUGUAGUUGGUAUCUAUUGUGAAGUUGAUAGAUGGGUGCAGUGUGUUGGGGAUGUUAUGGAAUGUUCAUAGAUCUUCUGAUCUGUUCCAAAAGUUGAAACAGUCAUCGCGGUAGCGUUUCCACUUUUUCUUAAUGUCUACUCUAAAGUCGUGUUCGAAGACUUUCCCUAUUUCAUCAUAUAGUUUAUUCUCAAGGAAAAACCGACACACACCAAUACUUAAAUUUUUACUCCUGCCACCCAUCCCACAUAAAAAAGAAACAUCCCAUAUAGUAUGGCAAGACGCAUAGUGACUGACUCACAAACACACCAAAUAAAACUAAAUGAACUAAAAAACUUCCUACUAGAACAGAAAUCCCCUCUCAAAUUAAUAAAAAACGGAAUCUCAAGAGCAAUGAAACUGGACAUCACACAACUCAGAACUCAAAAAAAGAAAAACAAAGAAAACAUCAUCCCUUUCAUAAACACACAACCCUGGAGUUAGCAACAUGUUUCAAAUUAUACAUUCAAACUUACCAAUAGUCCUACAAAGCCCCAAAAUGGGAAACAUAUUAAACAAAUAUUGCAUAAAUAACAGUAAACACCAAGAGAAAAACCUGAAGAAAUAACUAACAAGGGCAAAAUUCUCAUCAGAGAAUAAAACCGAAUUCUUUGUAUAAGAGUGGGGAGAUGGUAGAUGUGGGAUCUGCAGUAACCCCAUCGACAAAUAUAUAGAGGGAAACAAACAAACAAAAUUUAAGAGUGGUCACACAUUCAAAGUAAAUGCAGACACGAAUGCAAGACACAGAACAUAUAUAUUGCAUAACCUGUCCCACAUGCAAGGGGGAUUAUAUAGGCGAAACUGGAUAUUCUUUAUGCCAAUGAGCCAGAAUUCACCGACAUGUCCGACAGGAGGAACUGCAAAAGAUUCCACUGAGUAAACACUUAGAAAUAUGUGGAGAAGGAAAAUUUAAGAGCUUUCCCUUCUAUAAAUGCCCAGGAAAAAUAUGGAACAAUACUUCAUAACAAAGUUCUCCCCCAAACUGAAUGGCUGAAAAUAUGAAAAGCACAGCAACUUGCCUAUAGACCUAUCUAGAACUAUUAGCUUUGUCUGUAUAAUAAUGUCCUCACAAUGUACAAGAAAUUGUAUGCAUAUGUUUCAUCAAACUCCACAAGACACUUUCCCUUGUACAUUAUUACCCAUCCUAAUAUCUUCAUUUUUGUAAAGAAUUGUUCCUUAUCUUCAUUCCUCUUGAAAUAUAUAUAUAUAUAUAUAUAUAUAUAUAUAUAUAUUUGUGUGUGUAUAUAUAUAUAUAUAUUUGUGUGUGUAUAUAUAUAUAUAUAUAUAUAGCUGUGACUGGUGAAAUAUCACUACUUCUGUAAUGAUUUGUACUAGAUGAAGGACCAAUUUUGUAAAAUAAACUGUAAUUUUGUAUUAAACACACACACAGUACUGUACAUAUACAUAAAUAGAAACAAUCUUACAUCCAGAUUUUCCAACCCAUACCAGCACGAAGAACCAAACAUUGGACAAGGAUGAUGAUGAUGAUAAUAAAUCCAUACAAUAUUUUGAAAAAUAACUUUUAUUAACCAACUUGUCAUCUUCUAUUGAAAUAACUGAACAGCUGUAUAGAUGUAAACACAAUUUUUUCUUCUAUCAGUAGACCCCACCCCUUAGAGUAGCCACCUGGUUUUGCCAUUUUUAAAGGCCAAGAAUCAACUCAUCACUUUCUAUUGAAAGAACUGACCAGCUGUAAAGAUGUAAACACAUUUUUUUCUUCAUUCUCUCUUCCCUUCACUUUUCCAUUGACACUCCUUUCAGAUACACAGACACACACACUCUCUCUCACUUUCUCCCCAUUCCUCACCCUCUUUUACUAUCUUAUAUCUCUCCCUACCCCCAC
This 7751-nucleotide long non-coding RNA is filed under the name Octopus vulgaris (common octopus). Lineage: Eukaryota; Metazoa; Mollusca; Cephalopoda; Octopoda; Octopodidae. The record is from RNAcentral.